This 253-nucleotide ribosomal RNA is filed under the name uncultured bacterium. RNAcentral describes it as "partial 16S ribosomal RNA". It matches the Rfam family "Bacterial small subunit ribosomal RNA", at positions 524 to 776 of the family's 1533-position model. The record is from RNAcentral.
UACGUAGGGGGCAAGCGUUGUCCGGAAUCAUUGGGCGUAAAGCGCGUGUAGGCGGCUCGAUAAGUCCGCUCUGAAAGUCCAGGGCUCAACCCUGGGAUGCGGGUGGAUACUGUCGGGCUCGAGUCCGGAAGAGGCGAGUGGAAUUCCCGGUGUAGCGGUGAAAUGCGUAGAGAUCGGGAAGAACAUCGGUGGCGAAAGCGCUCUACUGGGCCAUAACUGACACUCAGGGACGAAAGCUAGGGGAGCGAAUGGG